CAAGAUGGGCUGAUUUAUUUGCACUUAAAAAUACAGUUUCUAAGAUGAUAUUUGUUUUCAAAAAUGUCUUAAUGUUAAAUAUAGGCUACAGGAAUUGAUGUCUUCAUGUUGAAAAUUUAUAUCUCACAUCAGCAUGAGCUUACACAUCAUAGAUGAUAACAUUACACAAAAUCAGCAAAUGAACACCCAUUUUGGAACACAGUUUUGAUAUUAAAAACAUCAGAAGUUCAGUUUUCUUCUUUCUUCUUGACUUAUACUGAUAAAAUGCUUUUAAACCUACAAGCCAUUUCACUUUCUAAUGCCAGAUCCAAUGCCUACUUGAUCAGCAGAUGGAUGCUACUAAACACAUUCCUCUUGCCUAGAAGUCACACCUUCCAUUUCUAAACAUAUUUUGCUCUGUAAAACUGUGACCACAGGGAAUGGGGAAGACAGGAUUUAAGUUCAAAUGUAAUGAGAAGAGAAAAAGUGAGGUAAAAUGCUGAAAAUGUUUACUAAUAAAACAUUACAUUUUAAGGUACGUACAGGUAGGUUUGAUGAUUCAACAGGAAACCAACAGUGAUUUGCAAAAACGCUAUGGCCUGUAAUUAAAAUCCCCCUACAUGUCAAGGUAACAUGAAGGUUUUUUAGGUGACCAGAUCUCUAGACAGAUUUGUUUGUGCAUUUUAAGUCAAAGCAAAAUUUUCCAAGUGAAGUACCUACAAAAUAAAUUUGCUUUGGAAAUAAGCCUCAGUAAUAAAAUAAUACCUCUCACUUAU
This 755-nucleotide long non-coding RNA is filed under the name Bos taurus (domestic cattle). RNAcentral describes it as "long non-coding RNA NONBTAT024184". Lineage: Eukaryota; Metazoa; Chordata; Mammalia; Artiodactyla; Bovidae. The record is from RNAcentral.